GACGAACGCUGGCGGCGUGCCUAAUACAUGCAAGUCGAACGCACUCUCGUUUAGAUUGAAGGAGCUUGCUCCUGAUUGAUAAACAUUUGAGUGAGUGGCGGACGGGUGAGUAACACGUGGGUAACCUGCCCUAAAGUGGGGGAUAACAUUUGGAAACAGAUGCUAAUACCGCAUAAAACCUAACACCGCAUGGUGUAGGGUUGAAAGAUGGUUUCGGCUAUCACUUUAGGAUGGACCCGCGGUGCAUUAGUUAGUUGGUGAGGUAAAGGCUCACCAAGACCGUGAUGCAUAGCCGACCUGAGAGGGUAAUCGGCCACACUGGGACUGAGACACGGCCCAGACUCCUACGGGAGGCAGCAGUAGGGAAUCUUCCACAAUGGACGAAAGUCUGAUGGAGCAACGCCGCGUGAGUGAAGAAGGUUUUCGGAUCGUA
Molecule: ribosomal RNA, 433 nt
Filed under: uncultured bacterium
Lineage: Bacteria
Description: bacterial SSU rRNA
Rfam family: Bacterial small subunit ribosomal RNA
Source: RNAcentral